AGGUAAGCUUGUAAGAGCAAAUGGUGGAUGCCUUGCCUAGUAGAGGCGAUGAAAGACGUGCCAGGCUGCGAUAAGCCUCGGGGAGCUGUCAAGGAGCUUUGAUCCGGGGAUUUCUGAAUGGGGCAACCCAAAUAACAGUGAUGUUAUUUACCAUAUGGAGCUAACUAGGGGAACUGAAACAUCUAAGUACCCUAAGGAAAAGAAAUCAAUAGAGAUUACGCUAGUAGCGGCGAGCGAACGCGUAAGAGGGCAAACCACUAGCUUGCUAGUGGGGUUGUAGGACUGCAAUGUGGACUAAAAUCGGUUAAUAGAAUAAACUGGAAAGUUUAGGCAUAGAGGGUGAUACCCCCGUAUAUGAAAACCUAUUUUUACCUAGCAGUAUCCUGAGUAGGACGGGACACGUGAAAUCCUGUUUGAAGCUGGGUCGACCACGAUCCAACCCUAAAUACUACUACUAGAGCGAUAGCGAACAAGUACCGUGAGGGAAAGGUGAAAAGAACCGCGGUGAGCGGAGUGAAAUAGAACCUGAAACCAUUUGCUUACAAUCAUUCAGAGCACUAUGAUUUAUCAGUGUGAUGGACUGCCUUUUGCAUAAUGAGCCUGCGAGUUGUGGUAUCUGGCAAGGUUAAGGAAACCCGGAGCCGUAGCGAAAGCGAGUCUUAAUAGGGCGCUAAGUCAGAUGCUGCAGACCCGAAACGAUGUGAUCUAUCCAUGAGCAGGUUGAAACCGGUGUAAGAGCCGGUGGAGGACCGAACAGACGGCUGUUGAAAAAGCUCCUGAUGACUUGUGGAUAGGGGUGAAAGGCCAAUCAAACAUCGUGAUAGCUGGUUCUCUCCGAAAUAUAUUGAGGUAUAGCGUCAUGUAGUAACACUAAGGGGUAGAGCACUGAAUGGGCUAGGGCAUACACCAAUGUACCAACCCCUAUCAAACUCCGAAUACUUAGUGUGUAAUCAUGGCAGUCAGGCGGCGAGUGAUAAAAUCCGUCGUCAAGAGGGGAACAACCCAGACUAACAGCUAAGGUCCCUAAAUCUCAUUUAAGUGGAAAACGAUGUGAAGUUACUUUAACAACCAGGAGGUUGGCUUAGAAGCAGCCAUCCUUUAAAGAAAGCGUAAUAGCUCACUGGUCUAGUGAUUUCGCGCGGAAAAUAUAACGGGGCUAAAAUGAGUACCGAAGCUUUAGA
This 1181-nucleotide ribosomal RNA is filed under the name Campylobacter magnus. RNAcentral describes it as "partial 23S ribosomal RNA". It matches the Rfam family "Bacterial large subunit ribosomal RNA", at positions 1 to 1206 of the family's 2925-position model. Lineage: Bacteria; Pseudomonadati; Campylobacterota; Epsilonproteobacteria; Campylobacterales; Campylobacteraceae. The record is from RNAcentral.